Molecule: transfer RNA, 72 nt
Filed under: Felis catus (domestic cat)
Lineage: Eukaryota; Metazoa; Chordata; Mammalia; Carnivora; Felidae
Also listed under: 1 other name
Rfam family: tRNA
About the family: Transfer RNA (tRNA) molecules are approximately 80 nucleotides in length. Their secondary structure includes four short double-helical elements and three loops (D, anti-codon, and T loops).
Source: Rfam by way of RNAcentral
GCCUGGCUGGCUCAGUCAGUAGAGCAUGAGACUCUUGAUCUCAGGGUUGUAAGUUUGACCCCAUGUUGGGUG